This 384-nucleotide ribosomal RNA is filed under the name uncultured soil bacterium. RNAcentral describes it as "bacterial SSU rRNA". It matches the Rfam family "Bacterial small subunit ribosomal RNA", at positions 26 to 381 of the family's 1533-position model. The record is from RNAcentral.
AGGACGAACGUUGGCGGCGUGCCUUACACAUGCAAGUCGUACGCGAAAGGGUGAACCGGCUUGCCGGGGACCCCGAGUAGAGUGGCGAACGGGAGCGUAACACGUGAGAAACCUGCCUUGGAGUGGGGAAUAACUUCGAGAAAUCGGAGCCAAUUCCGCAUGAUGCAGCGGCCCCGCAUGGGGACAGUUGUUAAAGACGGCCUCUGCUUGCAAGCCGUCGCUUCGAGAUGGUCUCGCGGCCUAUCAGCUAGUUGGUGAGGUAAUGGCUCACCAAGGCGACGACGGGUAGCCGGCCUGAGAGGGUGUCCGGCCUCAGUUGGGACUGAGACACGGCCCAGACUCCGUAGGAGGCAGCAGUGAGGAAUCUUGCGCAAGUGGCGAAAG